CAAUUUGUUCGUUCCUCUUUCUGUAGCCAACAGCUGUAAGUCAUAUUCAGAAGGUAUCUGUGGAAGAAAUGAUUGUAGAACAGAGCAAGAGAAGACCACUGUUGCUUUUUACUCACUCGUCUCGAAGAACUUUGCGCUCCCGCCUGCUGGCAGGACGUUUGUCUAUGACGCAGUUGUAACAAAUCAUGGAAAUGGAUACAGCAAGAAAUCGGGGAUUUUCACUGCCCCGAAGUCUGGGGUAUAUGUAUUUACCUGGACGCUUGUGGCUGCCGGGCAACAUGUUUCGGGAACCAAGGGUCACUUUGGGGAGAUAGCAACUCAUAUACUACAGAAUGAUGUUAUAAGGGGUACUCUUCAUGCUGAUACUGAAAAACAGGGGGAUGACGGAACAUCGACAGGAUUUGUUAUAUUGAAUCUGGAAAAGGACGACGCCGUUAAAAUAUCAAGUGCCUGGAACGGACAAGGGUCUGCUUAUAUCAAUGAGCAGUUUGGAAGAUGGUCAUUCUCUGGUUUUAAAAUAGCUUAGUACUGUAGCUUUUCUGAACAAAAAGUUAUACAAUAAAACUAAGAUGAAUCUAAAUUUGAAUUACCGAGUUUUAUUAGUAAUGUUUUGAAAUUUAAUAACUGAUUGCCAAUUAAAAGAAAUACAAAUCA
This is a long non-coding RNA of Saccostrea cuccullata (small rock oyster), 654 nucleotides long. RefSeq lists it as uncharacterized. The transcript has 2 exons. The record is from RefSeq and is a predicted model, not a curated record. NCBI's taxonomy places the organism in Eukaryota, Metazoa, Mollusca, Bivalvia, Ostreida, Ostreidae.